This 462-nucleotide ribosomal RNA is filed under the name uncultured bacterium. RNAcentral's name for it is "bacterial SSU rRNA". It matches the Rfam family "Bacterial small subunit ribosomal RNA", at positions 29 to 506 of the family's 1533-position model. The record is from RNAcentral.
ACGAACGCUGGCGGCGUGCUUAACACAUGCAAGUCGAGCGGAAAGGCCUCUUCGGGGGUACUCGAGCGGCGAACGGGUGAGUAACACGUGAGUAACCUGCCUUCAGCUUUGGGAUAACCCUCGGAAACGGGGGCUAAUACCGGAUAUUCAUCUCGUGGGGCAUCUUGUGGGGUGGAAAGUUUUUCGGCUGGGGAUGGGCUCGCGGCCUAUCAGCUUGUUGGUGGGGUAAUGGCCUACCAAGGCGGCGACGGGUAGCCGGCCUGAGAGGGCGACCGGCCACACUGGGACUGAGACACGGCCCAGACUCCUACGGGAGGCAGCAGUGGGGAAUAUUGCACAAUGGGCGGAAGCCUGAUGCAGCGACGCCGCGUGGGGGAUGACGGCCUUCGGGUUGUAAACCUCUUUCGACCCUGACGAAGCGUGAGUGACGGUAGGGGGAGAAGAAGCACCGGCCAACUACGU